RNAcentral lists this ribosomal RNA (519 nucleotides) under uncultured bacterium. RNAcentral's name for it is "bacterial SSU rRNA". It matches the Rfam family "Bacterial small subunit ribosomal RNA", at positions 555 to 1069 of the family's 1533-position model. The record is from RNAcentral.
UGGGCGUAAAGGACGCGUAGGCGGAUUAUCAAGUCUCUUGUGAAAUCUAGUGGCUUAACCACUAAACUGCUUGGGAAACUGAUAAUCUAGAGUAAGGGAGAGGCAGAUGGAAUUCUUGGUGUAGGGGUAAAAUCCGUAGAGAUCAAGAAGAAUACUUAUUGCGAAGGCGAUCUGCUAGAACUUAACUGACGCUAAUGCGUGAAAGCGUGGGGAGCAAACAGGAUUAGAUACCCUGGUAGUCCACGCCCUAAACGAUGUAUACUGGUUGUUGCUAUGCUAGUCAUGGCAGUAAUCCACCUAACGGAUUAAGUAUACCGCCUGGGGAGUACGGUCGCAAGAUUAAAACUCAAAGGAAUAGACGGGGACCCGCACAAGCGGUGGAGCAUGUGGUUUAAUUCGAAGAUACGCGAAGAACCUUACCCAGACUUGAUAUCUAACAAAUCAUCUAGAGAUAGAAGAGUGUCUGCUUGCAGAAAUGUUAAGACAGGUGCUGCACGGCUGUCGUCAGCUCGUGUCGUG